Molecule: ribosomal RNA, 504 nt
Filed under: uncultured bacterium
Lineage: Bacteria
Description: partial 16S ribosomal RNA
Rfam family: Bacterial small subunit ribosomal RNA
Source: RNAcentral
AUUGAACGCUGGCGGCAGGCCUAACACAUGCAAGUCGAACGGUAGCACAGAGAGCUUGCUCUCGGGUGACGAGUGGCGGACGGGUGAGUAAUGUCUGGGAAACUGCCCGAUGGAGGGGGAUAACUACUGGAAACGGUAGCUAAUACCGCAUAACGUCGCAAGACCAAAGUGGGGGACCUUCGGGCCUCACACCAUCGGAUGUGCCCAGAUGGGAUUAGCUAGUAGGUGGGGUAAUGGCUCACCUAGGCGACGAUCCCUAGCUGGUCUGAGAGGAUGACCAGCCACACUGGAACUGAGACACGGUCCAGACUCCUACGGGAGGAAGGAGUGGGGAAUAUUGAACAAUGGGCGCAAGCCUGAUGCAGCCAUGCCGAGUGUAUGAAGAAGGCCUUCGGGUUGUAAAGUACUUUCAGCGGGGAGGAAGGCGGUGGAGUUAAUAACUUCACCGAUUGACGUUACCCGCAGAAGAAGCACCGGCUAACUCCGUGCCAGCCGCCGCGGUAA